RNAcentral lists this long non-coding RNA (731 nucleotides) under Equus caballus (horse). RNAcentral describes it as "lncRNA (ENSECAG00000057987.1)". The record is from RNAcentral. Lineage: Eukaryota; Metazoa; Chordata; Mammalia; Perissodactyla; Equidae.
GGAGAAACAAAUUUAGGAAUUUUACAGCCAAAAACAAUUCCCAGAACCAAACCACAGGACUUGUCAAGUAAAGACAUUUGGAAGAUCCUACUGGGCACAGACACCGCAGCACAUUCAGGCAGCCUUGGGGACCAGAUCCUGGAUGCUGCUGCAGGAGUUGCUGCCCCUGCACCCUUUUGGAAUCCAAUGUGGUGGUGGUUGCUGUCCUCAACUCCUCAUGUUUUCCAAAUAUAUUCUAGGUGGUGCCCACUUCUUGGUAUCACUAGUUACCGAUUCACAGUCUGAAGAGCAGAGCCUAGACCCAUGCGCUAACUGCAAGGAGCCUGGAAAGAUUCCCCACAGAUUCUCAAAUAGACCUCUUGGAAUGGAGAUUAUACAUGAAGAACAGGACUUAUUAUUGGCUAAUUUUACAGUCUACACUGGAACUCUACGUGGAUCAAAUGAUAAGAUUCUUCCCAAAGCUACCAUCUAAGUCAACACAGGUUGUUGGGUAGACAAAAGCAAGAGAAGAUGACCACAGGGCCUUGUCACAGAUGUAAUCGUAUCUUCUACUGAAGGACUCUACUAAAGCUGCCCGAGUCAACUCCAUCAAAGGGGUUCAUGAUUGCAAUAUGUGUUUAAAGGAGAAGAAUUUUUCUUAAAAUGGACAUUUCUUGGCAGUCACUCAAUAAUCAUCCUUAGUCUCAUAUUCUUCUCUCUUUCCCAAUAACUAAGUCUUAAUGUAAUUAUCU